Molecule: long non-coding RNA, 107 nt
Organism: Solanum tuberosum (potato)
Lineage: Eukaryota; Viridiplantae; Streptophyta; Magnoliopsida; Solanales; Solanaceae
Exons: 2
Source: RefSeq, a predicted model, not a curated record
UGUGGCAGAAAACUUCCCUCUGCAGACGAACGAGAGAAGAAGAGAAAACAAAAUAAAACCAUACUUCGAACUUCAGAUUCAAAACGUUCGAAAGCUUUGCGAAAGGG